Molecule: long non-coding RNA, 335 nt
Organism: Daktulosphaira vitifoliae (grape phylloxera)
Lineage: Eukaryota; Metazoa; Arthropoda; Insecta; Hemiptera; Phylloxeridae
Exons: 3
Source: RefSeq, a predicted model, not a curated record
GUUCGAUCAACAGGGUGCCAAUGAGAUUUUCUUUGUGAUUUAUUCAUUAGUGGUAUCUGGUCUCUGGCGCAAUUACACCUCGUCAAAUUUUAAGCAAAGUUAAGUGUCAGUGACGGGUCUUUUUUUCAUUUUUACGUUGUGGGAUUGGGCAAUGGUCCAAUAAGCUUUUUCAAGAUUAUAUUCACUACAACGUUUGAUGACAUUAACGACGGCAAAGAUAUUUUAUUACUGUAGAUUUAUGAAUUGAUUUGAUACACCCGGACAUUAAGUUAAGUUAGUGCUUAAGUUAUUAUACUUUAGUUUUGAAGUUCUGUUUCAAAAGUUGUUAUCAAUCA